AAUAAUCAAUACCCAAUUACACCAGCCUCACUUAAAUGAAAACCCUCGUUUGUAUCAAUUCGAUUUCAUAAUCUAUUUCCUCUCUAGACUGAAAUUGUUUCCUCCAUAUUUUGGUGUUUCCUCCAUAUUUGAACUUGAAUUCGCCCAUGGCUGGUCGAUUUUGUUUCUUUCCCUUAUCAAUUUAGGCUGUAUUAUACUAGUGGAUAAGUGGGUGCUCAAUGUCUGAAUCUAGUUGUUCUUCGAAAAAGAGGUGCUUUUGUGGUAAUAUUUCCAACCACUUCACUUCAACCACUGUGUAUAACCCUGGUAGGAGAUUCUAUAAGUGCGCGAAACCUGGAAAUGAAUCAUGUGGUUUUUGGGAGUGGCAAGACGAAGUCUUACCGGACAGAGUUUUGGUUGUAAUUAACAAUUUCAAGUCGCAAGUUUGAUAUUGCUCAAGUUCAACUUAAUACCCUGAAUAUGGCAUUGGAUGCGUGCAAGAUUGAAAGGGAUAGACUGAUGGAAAAAGUGGAUGCAUUAGAGGCAAUAAAUAUUGUUGAAGUGAAUAAAGCAAGAGAGUUGGAAGAAAAAGUGUUGAAGUUGAAGAUGUUCAUUAUAAUUUCAUUUGCGCUAUUUGUUGGAUUUGUUGCGUCUUUCUUGAUGAAGUGAAGCUCUGAAUAUGUAGUAUUGUGUUGGUGGACACUAUGUAGUAUUUUGGAAUGAAGUUUUUGAUUUCAUUACUAUAUUUUGUAUUAUGGAUGAAGUUAACUGCAAUGAAGUUUUUGAUUUCAAUUA
Nicotiana tabacum (common tobacco) is the source of this 774-nucleotide long non-coding RNA. RefSeq lists it as uncharacterized. The record is from RefSeq and is a predicted model, not a curated record. NCBI's taxonomy places the organism in Eukaryota, Viridiplantae, Streptophyta, Magnoliopsida, Solanales, Solanaceae.